GGAGAGGUGGCCGAGUGGUUGAAGGCGCGCCCCUGCUAAGGGCGUAUAGGGGAAACCUUAUCGAGGGUUCGAAUCCCUCCCUCUCCGCCA
This 90-nucleotide transfer RNA is filed under the name Gammaproteobacteria bacterium. RNAcentral's name for it is "tRNA-Ser". It matches the Rfam family "tRNA". Rfam says of the family: Transfer RNA (tRNA) molecules are approximately 80 nucleotides in length. Their secondary structure includes four short double-helical elements and three loops (D, anti-codon, and T loops). Lineage: Bacteria; Pseudomonadati; Pseudomonadota; Gammaproteobacteria. The record is from RNAcentral.